This 173-nucleotide ribosomal RNA is filed under the name Vibrio parahaemolyticus. RNAcentral's name for it is "partial 16S ribosomal RNA". It matches the Rfam family "Bacterial small subunit ribosomal RNA", at positions 1 to 157 of the family's 1533-position model. The record is from RNAcentral. Lineage: Bacteria; Pseudomonadati; Pseudomonadota; Gammaproteobacteria; Vibrionales; Vibrionaceae. RNAcentral also lists the same sequence under 1 other name.
AAAUUGAAGAGUUUGAUCAUGGCUCAGAUUGAACGCUGGCGGCAGGCCUAACACAUGCAAGUCGAGCGGAAACGAGUUAUCUGAACCUUCGGGGAACGAUAACGGCGUCGAGCGGCGGACGGGUGAGUAAUGCCUAGGAAAUUGCCCUGAUGUGGGGGAUAACCAUUGGAAAC